GAUGAACGCUGGCGGCGUGCCUAAUACAUGCAAGUCGAGCGAACAGACGAGGAGCUUGCUCCUCUGACGUUAGCGGCGGACGGGUGAGUAACACGUGGAUAACCUACCUAUAAGACUGGGAUCACUUCGGGGAACCGGAGCUAAUACCGGAUAAUAUAUUGCACCGUAUGGUUCAAUAGUGAAAGACGGUUUUGCUGUCACUUAUAGCUGGUUCCGCGCCGCAUUAGCUAGUUGGUAAGGUAACGGCUUACCAAGGCAACGAUGCGUAGCCGACCUGUGAGGGUGAUAGGCCACACGGGAGCUGGGACGCGGUCCAGACGCCUACGGGAGGCAGCAGUAGGGAAUCUUACGCAGUGGGCGAAAGCCUGACGGAGCAACGCCGCGUGAGUGGUGGAGGUCUUCGGAUCGUAAAGCUCUGUUAUUAGGGAAGAACAGAUGUGUAAGUAGCUAUGCACGUCUUGACGGUACCUAGUCAGAAAGCCACGGCUAACUACGUG
RNAcentral lists this ribosomal RNA (497 nucleotides) under uncultured bacterium. RNAcentral's name for it is "partial 16S ribosomal RNA". It matches the Rfam family "Bacterial small subunit ribosomal RNA", at positions 28 to 507 of the family's 1533-position model. The record is from RNAcentral.